Molecule: ribosomal RNA, 495 nt
Filed under: uncultured bacterium
Lineage: Bacteria
Description: partial 16S ribosomal RNA
Rfam family: Bacterial small subunit ribosomal RNA
Source: RNAcentral
GACGAACGCUGGCGGCGUGCCUAAUACAUGCAAGUAGAACGCUGAAGGAGGAGCUUGCUUCUCUGGAUGAGUUGCGAACGGGUGAGUAACGCGUAGGUAACCUGCCUGGUAGCGGGGGAUAACUAUUGGAAACGAUAGCUAAUACCGCAUAAUAGUAGAUGUUGCAUGACAUUUGCUUAAAAGGUGCAAUUGCAUAACUACCAGAUGGACCUGCGUUGUAUUAGCUAGUUGGUGAGGUAACGGCUCACCAAGGCGACGAUACAUAGCCGACCUGAGAGGGGGAUCGGCCACACUGGGACUGAGACACGGCCCAGACUCCUACGGGAGGCAGCAGUAGGGAAUCUUCGGCAAUGGACGGAAGUCUGACCGAGCAACGCCGCGUGAGUGAAGAAGGUUUUCGGAUCGUAAAGCUCUGUUGUAAGAGAAGAACGAGUGUGAGAGUGGAAAGUUCACACUGUGACGGUAUCUUACCAGAAAGGGACGGCUAACUACGUG